GACGAACGCUGGCGGCGUGCCUAAUACAUGCAAGUAGAACGCACAGUUUAUACCGUAGCUUGCUACACCAUAGACUGUGAGUUGCGAACGGGUGAGUAACGCGUAGGUAACCUGCCUGGUAGCGGGGGGUAACUAUUGGAAACGAUAGCUAAUACCGCAUAAUAUUAAUUAUUGAAUGAUAAUUAAUUGAAAGGUGCAAUUGCACCACUACCAGAUGGACCUGCGUUGUAUUAGCUAGUAGGUGAGGUAACGGCUCACCUAGGCGGAGAUACAUAGCCGGGCCUAGGAGGUUAUUCGCCACACUUGGAACUGGACAACGCCCAGACCUCCUAGGGGAGCAGCAGGAGGGAAUUUUCGGCAAUGGAGGAAAGUCUGAACGAGCAACGCCGCGGGAGUGAAGAAGGGUUUUGGGUCGGAAAGGUCUGUUGUAAGAGAAGAAAGGGUGUGAGGGUGGAAAGUUCACACUGUGACGGUACCUUACCAGAAAGGGACGGCUAACUACGUG
Molecule: ribosomal RNA, 505 nt
Filed under: uncultured bacterium
Lineage: Bacteria
Description: partial 16S ribosomal RNA
Rfam family: Bacterial small subunit ribosomal RNA
Source: RNAcentral